CGCAACUUCACCAAAGCCACCAACAUCUGCCUACGUUUCCUGCGCACCAACAACACACUGCUGGGUCACCUCAUGGGCAAGGCGCUGCGGGCCCCCACAGUCAUGCACCAGGUGACGUGAGAGGACGCAGUGCCGCCAUGUUAGCGUUCCCAGUACGAGCCAUCUGCCGCUUGCUGGCCAGGCCUCAGACCCGAAGCGAGUGCGACCUCCUUGUCCUCACUCAGACGUGAGGCCCCGAGGGCAAUGUGCCAUCGCAGCGCAAAGUCCUCUGUAUCCC
This is a long non-coding RNA of Lemur catta (Ring-tailed lemur), 277 nucleotides long. RefSeq lists it as uncharacterized. Lineage: Eukaryota; Metazoa; Chordata; Mammalia; Primates; Lemuridae. The transcript has 3 exons. The record is from RefSeq and is a predicted model, not a curated record.